Molecule: ribosomal RNA, 251 nt
Filed under: uncultured bacterium
Lineage: Bacteria
Description: partial 16S ribosomal RNA
Rfam family: Bacterial small subunit ribosomal RNA
Source: RNAcentral
UAUGUAGGGGGCAAGCGUGUCCGGAUUUAUUGGGCGUAAAGAGCGUGUAGGCGGCCAAGCAGGUCAGCUGUGAAAACUCGAGGCUCAACCUCGAGACGUCGGUUGAAACCGCUUGGCUAGAGCCGGGAAGAGGAGAGUGGAAUUCCCGGUGUAGCGGUGAAAUGCGCGAUAUCGGGAAGAACACCCGUGGCGAAGGCGGCUCUCUGGGCGGUACUGGACGCUAGACGCGAAAGCGUGGGGAGCGAACGAGG